Molecule: ribosomal RNA, 387 nt
Filed under: uncultured bacterium
Lineage: Bacteria
Description: bacterial SSU rRNA
Rfam family: Bacterial small subunit ribosomal RNA
Source: RNAcentral
AUUGAACGCUGGCGGCAUGCUUUACACAUGCAAGUCGAGCGGCAGCGCGGGGGCAACCUUGGCGGCGAGCGGCGAACGGGUGAGUAAUGCAUCGGAACGUAUCCUGUAGUGGGGAAUAACUCACCGAAAGGUGAGCUAAUACCGCAUAAGCUCUGAGGAGGAAAGCGGGGGGACCGAAAGGCCUCGCGCUGCAGGAGCGGCCGAUGUCCGAUUAGCUAGUUGGUGAGGUAAAGGCUCACCAAGGCGACGAUCGGUAGCUGGUCUGAGAGGAUGAUCAGCCACACUGGGACUGAGACACGGCCCAGACUCCUACGGGAGGCAGCAGUGGGGAAUUUUGGACAAUGGGGGAAACCCUGAUCCAGCCAUGCCGCGUGAGUGAAGAAGGCC